CGGGAUUUACUUUUUUCAAUUCUUCGGAAGAGAAGUUAGUAAUGAGAGCGGCGAACGGGUGAGUAAUGAAUGGGUAAUAUGCCUCUUUGUUCGGAAUAGCUAUCGGAAACGGUAGGUAAUGCCGGAUGUGAUCGGCCACUGCAUGGUGGUUUGUUUAAAGGCGGGGAAUCUUCGGAUCCUGUCGCAAAGAGAUUGGCCCAUUUCCUAUCAGCUUGUUGGUGAGGUAAUGGCUCACCAAGGCUUACGGGUAGCUGGUCUGAGAGGAUGGUCAGCCACACUGGAACUGAGACACGGUCCAGACUCCUACGGGAGGCUGCAGUCGAGAAUCAUUGUCGAUGCACGAAAGUGUGAACAUGCGACGCCGCGUGGAGGAAGACGGCCUUCGGGUUGUAAACUCCUGUCAGCAGGGAAGAAGGGAAUACCACUAACAUUGGUAUGACUAGACGGUACCUGCAGAGGAAGUCACGGCUAACUCUGUGCCAGCAGCCGCGGUAAUACAGAGGUGGCGAACGUUGUUCGGAUUUACUGGGCGUAAAGGGUCCGCAGGCGGAUCAGUGUGUCGGAUGUGAAAGCUCACAGCUUAACUGUGGAAUUGCAUUCGAAACUGCUGAUCUAGAGUACUGGAGGGGUGAUGGGAACACUUGGUGUAGCGGUGAAAUGCGUAGAUAUCAAGUGGAACACCGGAGGCGAAGGCGCAUCACUGGACAGAUACUGACGCUCAUGGACGAAAGCUAGGGUAGUGAAAGGGAUUAGAUACCCCUGUAAUCCUAGCCGUAAACGGUGUGCACUCGAUGUGGGAGGAUUUACCCCCCUUCCGUAUCUGAGCUAACGCGUUAAGUGCACCGCCUGGGGGAGUACGGUCGCAAGAU
This 869-nucleotide ribosomal RNA is filed under the name uncultured Verrucomicrobiota bacterium. RNAcentral's name for it is "bacterial SSU rRNA". It matches the Rfam family "Bacterial small subunit ribosomal RNA", at positions 63 to 894 of the family's 1533-position model. Lineage: Bacteria; Pseudomonadati; Verrucomicrobiota. The record is from RNAcentral.